UUCACAAACUCUGGAUGGUACCUUUUCUCCAUUAAAAAAAAAAAGGACAGAGAGUCUAGGAUGAAAGUGUCUGAGAUGGUUUUGGUGAGUGUUGUGCUUAGUUUUUCCGUUAAAGAUUGCUUAAAUGGUUUCACCGAGCCAAGAAACACUCCGGCGUGGAGAGAAUUCACAACUUCAGCAAUCAUCAUUCUUGGAGCCAAAUGGUCAUGUUCAUGUUCUUGCCCCGUCUUCCGAAGCUGUGGAGUGUGACAAUGGUGUUUG
Molecule: long non-coding RNA, 261 nt
Organism: Chanos chanos (milkfish)
Lineage: Eukaryota; Metazoa; Chordata; Actinopteri; Gonorynchiformes; Chanidae
Exons: 2
Source: RefSeq, a predicted model, not a curated record